CUUCUGCUGAUGAUAACUUUGUCCAGUUCUGCUACUGAAACUAAGAUGAUAUUACUCAAUCUGAAGAAG
Molecule: small nucleolar RNA, 69 nt
Filed under: Xenopus laevis (African clawed frog)
Lineage: Eukaryota; Metazoa; Chordata; Amphibia; Anura; Pipidae
Source: RNAcentral